UGGGGAAUAUUGCACAAUGGGCGCAAGCCUGAUGCAGCCAUGCCGCGUGUAUGAAGAAGGCCUUCGGGUUGUAAAGUACUUUCAGUCGGGAGGAAGGUGGUAAGGUUAAUAACCUUGGCAAUUGACGUUACCGACAGAAGAAGCACCGGCUAACUCCGUGCCAGCAGCCGCGGUAAUACGGAGGGUGCAAGCGUUAAUCGGAAUUACUGGGCGUAAAGCGCACGCAGGCGGUUUGUUAAGUCAGAUGUGAAAUCCUCGGGCUCAACCUGGGAACUGCAUCUGAUACUGGCAAGCUUGAGUCUCGUAGAGGGGGGUAGAAUUCCAGGUGUAGCGGUGAAAUGCGUAGAGAUCUGGAGGAAUACCGGUGGCGAAGGCGGCCCCCUGGACGAAGACUGACGCUCAGGUGCGAAAGCGUGGGGAGCAAACAGG
Molecule: ribosomal RNA, 429 nt
Filed under: Chloroflexota bacterium
Lineage: Bacteria; Bacillati; Chloroflexota
Description: Chloroflexi bacterium partial 16S ribosomal RNA
Rfam family: Bacterial small subunit ribosomal RNA
Source: RNAcentral